Molecule: long non-coding RNA, 909 nt
Organism: Mesocricetus auratus (golden hamster)
Lineage: Eukaryota; Metazoa; Chordata; Mammalia; Rodentia; Cricetidae
Exons: 2
Source: RefSeq, a predicted model, not a curated record
GCCAUCUUAAGAAAAGCGCUAACCAGGAGACGAAGACAAAGCUGGGGCUUCUUGGAGACCAAAACACAAACUAAAGACGGACAAAGCUUCCCUUUACAGGUCUACUGUGAGUAGGGCAAACUCUCCGCCAACACCAGGGGAAACGUGGGAGCACGCCCAGAGGUCUAUGGCAGCAGGAUCUGAGACAGGCAGGUGGCCUUUCCAGGAGCAAGCGAUCCCUCAGACGCUUUCAGAACAGGUGUUGAAGGUCCAAAGUGUCUUCCGGCUACACAAUGAGCAAAUUAUAUCUUCAGAAAAGACGGAGGGGACAGGAACAAAGAGGCAUAGGAAGAAGAAGAGUUAAGGACAGUCCCAGUCUCCUGCUCCAGCAUUGACGCACAAAUUGCAUCUGAAGCAAGCUCCAGUCAGGCAAAGAGCACUUCUUCGUCAUCUGUGGUGGGGAGCACAGAGAAUCGUUCAUGAGCAGAAUCUUAAAUCUAAGUCACAAUGGGCAGAGCAAUUGUGUUUACCUAAUUUGUAUAGCUCUGGGAUUGAGGCCAGGACCUCCUGCCUGCUAGGCAAACCCCCAAGCAUGGAAACACAGCUCCAGCAGAACAAUGACUUUUGUUAGAUGCUUAGAUAUUCACUUAAGACUUAAAAAAUCUAAGCAGUAUAGCACAUGCUCACAGACACACACACACACACACACACACCCUGCUGUUCACUUUUAUGCUUCAUUCGCAUCCCCUGCAGUUUUUGAAAUGUGCCCCAGCAAGCAUUUCAUUAUGUGUAUUCAUGAUUAGACAAAGUAUAACAAAUUGAUAAACAUGCAUUUCUUUCCAGAUACAGCUUAAAUCUGUAUGUUUGUUAUGAAAUUUCUCUCAAAAGGAAAGUGGGUACUACAGAAAAUAAAAUCGAAGAAUCCCUGUG